CCUGCAGGGCCCGGACUCUUCGUGUGAUGUGGGUUUAUUGGCUUGGCCUUAGGCAGGUGGCGGCAGCUCCUCCUCGGGGUUUUCAAAGACAGAGAAAGUGACGCCGAGCGGCUCAGGGCCACCAGGAGAAUGCAGAAAGAGACGUGAGGUUUCCUUCCCAGACUGGGAGUGAAUUCCCAGCACGGCUCUGUGGAGGGGUGCGCCAAGCCUGAGGGAGACCCUGCGGCCUCGCGCUGCCCGAGGUCCCGUCCCGGUGCAGCGCCCCUGUCCUCGGCGGCUCUCGGUUUCGCUGCUUAAGCUGAGAUUUCGGAAUGGGCGUCCAAACGUGGAAAGCGCUCAUUAACUACUCAGCUGUCUCCUGCCUCCUUAUCUACUCAUACUCACGCAGUCUUUUCGCCGUAAUGCAAAUUUCCCAAAAUGUUUUUGACAGUAUUUUUAAUUUAUAGCUCUUCGGGAAGAAAUACAUGAUUUAAAAUGCAGCUUUUUUUUUUUUUUUUUCCAUCCUGGCCAAAAAACUUGGCGAGUAACUUCACAGAUUCAUGGCAGGUCAAAAUUUGUGACUGACUGGGAAACCAGUCCUGGAUUUUUGCUUAUUAAUUUCCUUUUGAGUUAUUUAAGGGGUAAGUAUCCUUUGGAUGGUGUUGAUGACUAUUCAGUCUGUGAUUAUUGCAUGUAUUACCCAAUCAUUUUUUGUGUAACUGAAGUUUCAUGUUUGCUGAAUUAGAGUUUAUUGAGAAAGAGGAUCUUAAGGAACGGUUUCACCAUCACUUCUACUCAGAUUUAUUUAUUUAUUUUAAAGAUUUAUUUUAUUUAUUUGAAAGAGUUACAGAGAGGUAGAGCCAGAGCCAGAGAGAGAGAGAGAGAGAGGUCUUCCAUCCGCUGGUUUAUUCCCCAAAUGAGCCGAUCCAAAGCCAAGAGCCAGGAGCCUCCUCUAGGUCUCCCAUAUGGGUGCAGGAACCCAAGGACUGGGACCAUAUUCUGCUGCUUUCCCAGGCCAUAGAAGCGAGUGGGAUCAGAAGUGGAGCAACCGGGACUUGAAUUAGCGUCCAUAUGGGAUGCUGGCACUGCAGGCUCGGGCUUUAACCUACUGUACCACAGUGCCAGCCUCUCAUAUUUAUUUUUAAAAAGUUUAUGAGGUUAUUGCCAUACUAUUGAAAAAUCCAAGUGAAGAUUUUUAUAUUUCAGAUGCAGUUCUCUGAUACAGUUCUAAUUUUCAGCAAACCCACCCUGAUUCCAAAGCUCUAAUCAAAUAAGUAAAAUUGUAUAAUAAG
Molecule: long non-coding RNA, 1271 nt
Filed under: Oryctolagus cuniculus (rabbit)
Lineage: Eukaryota; Metazoa; Chordata; Mammalia; Lagomorpha; Leporidae
Description: lncRNA (ENSOCUG00000037713.1)
Source: RNAcentral